Molecule: ribosomal RNA, 408 nt
Filed under: uncultured bacterium
Lineage: Bacteria
Description: partial 16S ribosomal RNA
Rfam family: Bacterial small subunit ribosomal RNA
Source: RNAcentral
GACGAACGCUGGCGGCGUGCUUAACACAUGCAAGUCGAACGGAGUGGCGAACGGGUGAGUAUUACGUGAGUAACCUGCCCUCAACUGUGGGAUACGCCUGGGAAACUGGGUCUAAUACUGCAUAGUUGGGGAUGGGCUCGCGGCCUAUCAGUUUGUUGGUGGGGUGAUGGCCUUCAAAGGCGGUGACGGGUAGCCGGCCGGAGAGGGUGGUCGGGAAGAUGGGGACUGGGAUGCGGCCCAGAGACCGACCGGAGGCGGCAGUGGGGGAUAUGGAAAAAUGGGCGCAAGCCAGAGGCAGCGAGGCCGCGUGAGGGAUGAAGGCUUACGGGUUGUAAACCUCUUUCGGUACAGAACGGGUAUGUGCAGAAGAAGCGCCGGCUAACUACGUGCCAGCAGCCGAGGUAAUAC